RNAcentral lists this ribosomal RNA (490 nucleotides) under uncultured bacterium. Its description in RNAcentral is "partial 16S ribosomal RNA". It matches the Rfam family "Bacterial small subunit ribosomal RNA", at positions 30 to 507 of the family's 1533-position model. The record is from RNAcentral.
AUUGAACGCUGGCGGCAGGCCUAACACAUGCAAGUCGAGCGGCAGCGGAAAGUAGCUUGCUACUUUGCCGGCGAGCGGCGGACGGGUGAGUAAUGUCUGGGAAACUGCCUGAUGGAGGGGGAUAACUACUGGAAACGGUAGCUAAUACCGCAUAACGUCGCAAGACCAAAGAGGGGGACCUUCGGGCCUCUUGCCAUCAGAUGUCCCCAGAUGGGAUUAGCUAGUAGGUGGGGUAACGGCUCACCUAGGCGACGAUCCCUAGCUGGUCUGAGAGGAUGACCAGCCACACUGGAACUGAGACACGGUCCAGACUCCUACGGGAGGCAGCAGUGGGGAAUAUUGCACAAUGGGCGCAAGCCUGAUGCAGCCAUGCCGCGUGUAUGAAGAAGGCCUUCGGGUUGUAAAGUACUUUCAGCGGGGAGGAAGGUGUUGAGGUUAAUAACCUCAGCAAUUGACGUUACCCGCAGAAGAAGCACCGGCUAACUCCGUG